AUGAGCUCCCUGCAGCAGGGUCCGGGCACCGGAGGAGUGAACCCCCCCCUCACUAAGAACUACUCUGGGAGGCCACUUCCACACAGACCAGACCGUAGUGGGGAAAAGGGCCAGGACAAAAAGCUGCCAAGGGCUCCCCUGGGCUCUUCCUCCCCUCCUUUUCAGCUCGGAGCCUGGGAGAGAGGCAGGCUGGGGAGUCGGGAGAAGAGCCAGAACAGGAACCGAAAGAGGAGCGCCGAGUACCGGGGACAACAAUGGAAUGAAGAGUCGGAGGCUCCGGGGCUGAGCCGUUUCCCAUCUCUGGGAGUUUGCCGAGUUUCCAGGGGACAGAGCAGUCCUGCUCUCCCUCAUCUCCCCCGCCCCAGGAAGAUCAGCUGUCAGGUCGUGUCAAGACAGGGCUGGACCCCAAACCAUUGCUUAAGGACUUUGGAAGCCUUGGCAAGGCCAAGCAGCCAGAUGCCCCAAGUGGGAAGGGAGGUUGCGAGUGUGUUGGAGAGUUGGGGGAGGGGAAUGAGAAGAGGGUGGGGGACGAUCGUCACCUUGGCAACUCGGAUCCCUGGGGAGCGGGCUGGGCAGGGGCUUGCCCGCUCCGGUGGUAGCGGUCGGGGGAGGGGCGCCUCCCCUUCCUCCUCGAGCCCCCUCCCCCCACGUGGCUCCCGAGCUGGGAUCCCGGCGCGCGGGUCCCCGAGGGGAAAGUUGCCGAGGGUAGGGACAAAGCCGGGGCUCCGGGCGCCAACAUCCCUCAACGCCGCCCGCCCGCAUCCCCGCCCAGGUACCUGGGUGCCAUCCCCGCCGUGGCCGCCGCCGCCGCGUCCUCCUCCUUCUUCAGAUGCUAGGGGUGCUGGUGCAGGCAGCCGUUGUUACCUCCCGGCUGUAACCGUAGCCGUGGUCGUGGCUGCAGUAGCUGCCCUGGCCCCAACAGGAACAGCAGCAGCAGCAGCAGCAGCAACAGCCGCCUGCGCCCCAGAUCCGUUAGCUCCGCCGGGCCCCUCCGCUCGCCGCUGCCGCCGCCACCGCCUGUGAGAGUCCCCUCCCUCCUCCUCCUCUACCUCCUCCUCCCUUCUGCUCCUCCCUCCUAUCUUCCUCGGCUGGGUGAGCAGCCGCCGUCGCCUUUCCCU
This 1118-nucleotide long non-coding RNA is filed under the name Monodelphis domestica (gray short-tailed opossum). Its description in RNAcentral is "lncRNA (ENSMODG00000050885.1)". Lineage: Eukaryota; Metazoa; Chordata; Mammalia; Didelphimorphia; Didelphidae. The record is from RNAcentral.